This 97-nucleotide small RNA is filed under the name Salmonella enterica subsp. enterica serovar Braenderup. RNAcentral's name for it is "partial RtT sRNA". It matches the Rfam family "RtT RNA", at positions 32 to 130 of the family's 130-position model. Rfam says of the family: This family represents a bacterial cis-regulatory element known as RtT RNA. The exact function of RtT is unknown although it is thought that it may be involved in changing the cellular response in relation to amino acid starvation. The record is from RNAcentral. Lineage: Bacteria; Pseudomonadati; Pseudomonadota; Gammaproteobacteria; Enterobacterales; Enterobacteriaceae.
CUGCCGUAGGUUCGGGUCGAACGCAGUGAGACAACGGAGCCGUUUACGGCGACGGCCCGAAGGGCGAGCGAAGCGAGUCAUCCUGCACGACCCACCA